UUAUUAUUCUAGGUCUUCAAAGGUUUUUCAUAAUAUCACGCGUACGGAGAACCCCAUCAGGCGAACUCCACAUGAAUGUGAUUAUUUUUACUCUACCUCUUCGGAGGCAGUUCUUGACGCCUCCAACCUCAUCUUGUCUUGUCGCUGCCCCAUCGUACGUUUUUUAGAAAAAUUGUAAUCUUGUCGAUGGAAAAUGAUGGCACCAUGGGUGGGUGAGGUGCCCACCAGUUUUUUGGGUCCGUCCAUGCAAGUUGUGCUCCCAAACUCUGUACAGAUACAAGUAAUUCGACUUUAGACGUACAGCCUUUAUAAGUUUUAAGUCCCCCCUAAUUCUCGCCACGGUUUCAUAAAAACCAAUGUGGGAUAGUUCAUCAAUCACCUCCUGUAGAGAAAGAAACUCAGAUUCCAUGAUGAUAAGCCUUCACAUCUGAAUAUAACAAUGGUCUUGAAGAAGGUCACUCUCCGUGUCCGGCGCCAGUAAUUCCUCCCCGUUAUUUGGAAGCCUACCCAGAGUUUCUUGCUGCAUGAGUUUAAAUGCGCAGCCAAGAACACAGCGCAGAUUAUUUGGCCGGAAUAGACCCGGCCGGGAGGCCUCGCUCAGAUGUUAUUGUGUAAAAUAUUCUCUCACAACAUUAUUAACAUAACGUCAAGAGCACGCACCAUAAAUCUACAUUGGUGGAGGAACGACGAUCGGAUUCCCUCCAAAAUUAUUCCCAGAUCAGACAUUUCAGCCCAUGGAAUAAAAUUGACGGCGAUUUCACUUCCUGGUAGACAGCAUGUCAGCCCAACGACAUGAGCUUCUUUUCGAGAGACUUGGCCGANNNN
Molecule: long non-coding RNA, 825 nt
Filed under: Spirodela polyrhiza (greater duckweed)
Lineage: Eukaryota; Viridiplantae; Streptophyta; Magnoliopsida; Alismatales; Araceae
Description: long non-coding RNA (SPOL_LNC000185)
Source: RNAcentral